AUGGAGAAUCUGUAAAGCUCAGGAGGGAUAGCGCCAUGAUAAUAUUCUUUUUUAAUUAAUUAAUUAAUUCCUUGAUCAAUUAGCGGCGCUGGCGCUAUCUAUCCUGAGUUUUCCGGAUUCUUCUU
Molecule: microRNA precursor, 125 nt
Filed under: Citrus sinensis (sweet orange)
Lineage: Eukaryota; Viridiplantae; Streptophyta; Magnoliopsida; Sapindales; Rutaceae
Description: MIR390 microRNA precursor family
Rfam family: MIR390 microRNA precursor family
Source: Rfam by way of RNAcentral